This is a non-coding RNA of Erinaceus europaeus (western European hedgehog), 102 nucleotides long. Lineage: Eukaryota; Metazoa; Chordata; Mammalia; Eulipotyphla; Erinaceidae. The record is from Rfam.
UGUUUACUUUGGCAGUACACUAAAAUUGGAACGAUACAGAGAAAAUUAUUAUGGCCCCUGCAGAAGGAUGACACCCACAUUCUUGAAGCAUUCCAUAUUAAA